RNAcentral lists this transfer RNA (72 nucleotides) under Eisenbergiella porci. Its description in RNAcentral is "tRNA-Met". It matches the Rfam family "tRNA". From Rfam's summary of the family: Transfer RNA (tRNA) molecules are approximately 80 nucleotides in length. Their secondary structure includes four short double-helical elements and three loops (D, anti-codon, and T loops). Further hydrogen bonds mediate the characteristic L-shaped molecular structure. tRNAs have two regions of fundamental functional importance: the anti-codon, which is responsible for specific mRNA codon recognition, and the 3' end, to which the tRNAs corresponding amino acid is attached (by aminoacyl-tRNA synthetases). tRNAs cope with the degeneracy of the genetic code in two manners: having more than one tRNA (with a specific anti-codon) for a particular amino acid; and 'wobble' base-pairing, i.e. permitting non-standard base-pairing at the 3rd anti-codon position. The record is from RNAcentral. Lineage: Bacteria; Bacillati; Bacillota; Clostridia; Lachnospirales; Lachnospiraceae.
AGCAAGGUGGAGCAGUGGAAGCUUGCCGGGUUCAUGCCCCGGAGGUCGCGGGUUCAAAUCCCGCCCUUGCAA